UUCCCUUAGGGUUUUAGAAUGUGAGCCACUC
RNAcentral lists this non-coding RNA (31 nucleotides) under Mus musculus (house mouse). Lineage: Eukaryota; Metazoa; Chordata; Mammalia; Rodentia; Muridae. The record is from RNAcentral.